GUCUCACAGUUUGAUCCUGGCUCAGAGCGAACGCUGGCGGCAGGCUUAACACAUGCAAGUCGAACGGGCGUAGCAAUACGUCAGUGGCAGACGGGUGAGUAACGCGUGGGAACAUACCUCUUGGUUCGGAACAACACAGGGAAACUUGUGCUAAUACCGGAUAAGCCCUUACGGGGAAAGAUUUAUCGCCGAGAGAUUGGCCCGCGUCUGAUUAGCUAGUUGGUGGGGUAAAGGCCUACCAAGGCGACGAUCAGUAGCUGGUCUGAGAGGAUGAUCAGCCACAUUGGGACUGAGACACGGCCCAAACUCC
This 310-nucleotide ribosomal RNA is filed under the name uncultured bacterium. RNAcentral describes it as "bacterial SSU rRNA". It matches the Rfam family "Bacterial small subunit ribosomal RNA", at positions 1 to 339 of the family's 1533-position model. The record is from RNAcentral.